UACGGAGGAUGCAAGCGUUAUCCGGAAUGAUUGGGCAUAAAGGGUCCGCAGGUGGCAGUGUAAGUCUGCUGUCAAAGAAUGAGGCUUAACCUUAUCAAGGCAGUGGAAACUACACAGCUAGAGUACGGUCGGGGUAGAAGGAAUUCCUGGUGUAGCGGUGAAAUGCGUAGAGAUCAGGAAGAACACCGGUGGCGAAAGCGUUCUGCUAGACCUGUACUGACACUGAGGGACGAAAGCUAGGGGAGCGAAUGGG
This 253-nucleotide ribosomal RNA is filed under the name uncultured bacterium. Its description in RNAcentral is "partial 16S ribosomal RNA". It matches the Rfam family "Bacterial small subunit ribosomal RNA", at positions 524 to 776 of the family's 1533-position model. The record is from RNAcentral.